Molecule: ribosomal RNA, 221 nt
Filed under: uncultured bacterium
Lineage: Bacteria
Description: partial 16S ribosomal RNA
Rfam family: Bacterial small subunit ribosomal RNA
Source: RNAcentral
AUUGAACGCUGGCGGCAUGCUUUACACAUGCAAGUCGAACGCGAAAGCGGGGCGAACCCUCGCCGGUAGAGUGGCGAACGGGUGAGUAACACAUCGGAACGUAUCCUCGCGUGGGGACGAACCAGUCGAAGACGGGCGUAAUACCGCAUACGCUGGAGACAGGAAAGCAGGGACCCGGCAAGGCCGUUGUGCGCAUGGAGCGGCCGAUGUCUGAUUAGCUA